GUCCUAGCCCUAAACGGUGCACGUUUGCUGUAAGAGGAAUCGACCCCUUUUGUGGCGAAGCUAACGCGUUAAACGUGCCGCCUGGGAAGUACGGUCGCAAGAUUAAAACUCAAAGAAAUUGACGGGGGCCUGCACAAGCGGUGGAGUAUGUGGCUUAAUUCGAUGCAACGCGAAGAACCUUACCUGGUCUUGACAUGUAGGUAGUAGAAGUGUGAAAGCAUGACGAGGUAGCAAUACCAGCUUACACAGGUGCUGCAUGGCUGUCGU
Molecule: ribosomal RNA, 267 nt
Filed under: uncultured bacterium
Lineage: Bacteria
Description: partial 16S ribosomal RNA
Rfam family: Bacterial small subunit ribosomal RNA
Source: RNAcentral